GACUCAUAGCUCAAUGGUUGAGCAUCGACCUGUUGUGCUGAAGAAUCAGGGUUCGAUUCCCGAAAGAGUCA
This 71-nucleotide transfer RNA is filed under the name Daphnia magna. It matches the Rfam family "tRNA". From Rfam's summary of the family: Transfer RNA (tRNA) molecules are approximately 80 nucleotides in length. Their secondary structure includes four short double-helical elements and three loops (D, anti-codon, and T loops). The record is from Rfam by way of RNAcentral. Lineage: Eukaryota; Metazoa; Arthropoda; Branchiopoda; Diplostraca; Daphniidae.